GAUGAACGCUAGCUACAGGCUUAACACAUGCAAGUCGAGGGGAAACGGCAUUAAGUGCUUGCACUUUUUGGACGUCGACCGGCGCACGGGUGAGUAACGCGUAUCCAACCUUCCCAUGACUAAGGGAUAACCUGCCGAAAGGCAGACUAAUACCUUAUGGUCUUCACUGACGGCAUCAGAUGUGAAGUAAAGAUUUAUCGGUUAUGGAUGGGGAUGCGUCUGAUUAGCUUGUUGGCGGGGUAACGGCCCACCAAGGCAACGAUCAGUAGGGGUUCUGAGAGGAAGGUCCCCCACAUUGGAACUGAGACACGGUCCAAACUCCUACGGGAGGCAGCAGUGAGGAAUAUUGGUCAAUGGGCGAGAGCCUGAACCAGCCAAGUAGCGUGCAGGAUGACGGCCCUAUGGGUUGUAAACUGCUUUUGUAUGGGGAUAAAGUCAAUCACGCGUGAUUGUUUGCAGGUACCAUACGAAUAAGGACCGGCUAAUUCCGUG
This 492-nucleotide ribosomal RNA is filed under the name uncultured bacterium. RNAcentral describes it as "partial 16S ribosomal RNA". It matches the Rfam family "Bacterial small subunit ribosomal RNA", at positions 28 to 507 of the family's 1533-position model. The record is from RNAcentral.